UCAACGGAUCAAUUUAGUUAA
RNAcentral lists this non-coding RNA (21 nucleotides) under Caenorhabditis elegans. The record is from RNAcentral. Lineage: Eukaryota; Metazoa; Nematoda; Chromadorea; Rhabditida; Rhabditidae.